This 496-nucleotide ribosomal RNA is filed under the name uncultured bacterium. RNAcentral describes it as "partial 16S ribosomal RNA". It matches the Rfam family "Bacterial small subunit ribosomal RNA", at positions 28 to 506 of the family's 1533-position model. The record is from RNAcentral.
GAUGAACGCUGGCGGCGUGCCUAAUACAUGCAAGUCGAGCGAACAGACGAGGAGCUUGCUCCUCUGACGUUAGCGGCGGACGGGUGAGUAACACGUGGAUAACCUACCUAUAAGACUGGGAUAACUUCGGGAAACCGGAGCUAAUACCGUAUAAUAUAUUGAACCGCAUGGUUCAAUAGUGAAAGACGGUUUUGCUGUCACUUAUAGAUGGAUCCGCGCCGCAUUAGCUAGUUGGUAAGGUAACGGCUUACCAAGGCAACGAUGCGUAGCCGACCUGAGAGGGUGAUCGGCCACACUGGAACUGAGACACGGUCCAGACUCCUACGGGAGGCAGCAGUAGGGAAUCUUCCGCAAUGGGCGAAAGCCUGACGGAGCAACGCCGCGUGAGUGAUGAAGGUCUUCGGAUCGUAAAAAUCUGUUAUUAGGGAAGAACAAAUGUGUAAGUAAAUAUGCACGUCUUGACGGUACCUAAUAAGAAAGCAACGGCUAACUACGU